UGCUAUCGACUGGUACUUUUUGGUGUCAGGUUCGGCUGGAAUGCGAUAGGGGGGCAAGUGACUACAAGUGUUAUUUAUUUGUUUUUACAUUUUUACAUUGGGACUUGUUGUAACCAUGUCUAAUCAGCUGACCGCUACUGAUGGUUGUGCCGGGUGUAAAAUCCGAAUUUCGGCGCUGCUCUACGUGCAAGCACGUGCAAGGCUGCCUAUGAUCUCGAAUGUAUAAAAUUUGAGUAGUUCACGAUUUUACUCAUUUUAUAGACAGGAUUAAAAACGUAGCGAUUCCUGAAAGUGCCCAGAAUGUUUAAACAAAAAAACCGAAGAGUGGAAAUCGAGAUACCCCCUAUCCGGUCUAUUCUGUCGCCAGAGAGGAGCUGCAAUAUCACUCACAGAGUCAAAUCAACACCUGAAGUUGCUGAAUCCAGCAGUGACAUCUCUCAACUGGGUGAUUCUGGGGAUGCUAGCCCGGCGGGUUCGGCGCCUGAUUGCAAGCAAUUCCUUGAGGAGAUACGCGCUAUGCGCAUAGAAAUGAAUUUGUUUCGUUCCACUAUGUCAGUGCUAACAACUGCCAUCAAAACGCAGGGCAUGCGUCUGGACUCUUUAGAAAACCGCAUUGAGUGCCUUGAAACCGCAGCGGGUGUAACCUUUUAUUUUAUUUUACAUAAAAUAAAAUGUUUCACUAUUAAAUAUAGUACGGAAACUUAAAAUAAUAAAAUUCUUAAUUCUAAGUAUGUACAAUUUAUUAUUUACAUAGAAAAAUAAUUAAACUAAAAGUCUUAAUUCUAAGUUACUACUAAUAACAAGUAAAAUAAUACAAAGUUGAAACACUUAACUAAAUGGCCUAAAGAUUGUUAUUGACUACGACAUACGCUCGCACGCAGCCGUAAAGUGAAAGGUCUCGAAGGUCACGGCUCCUCGGCCUGCGCCCACUGGCCCGCUGGAUGCGUUCUGAGUAAGACGCGUACCUCUAAUUAUUGCUACGUGAGCCUACCUAUCUGCUGUCGUACUAUCGUGCUACCUAAAACGUGUUGUACAUAAUAAUUAUUUACUUUGUGAAUCCCCCGUUAAUUAUCGGGGCCCAUCUACCCGGUACCGGACGUCUGUCAAGCCCCUUAUUCUGCCUGGCCUGGCCUACUGCUAUCCACAUACUACAUCAAGACAUCUACGCCUGGAGCUACGCGACGGAAUUGCAGGACAGUGAUAGUGACGGAACUGAGUUACACACAUUCGGUCGUUUAUAAUUGUGAACCCACCUAUUAAACCUAAGAACCUA
Ostrinia nubilalis (European corn borer) is the source of this 1273-nucleotide long non-coding RNA. RefSeq lists it as uncharacterized. Lineage: Eukaryota; Metazoa; Arthropoda; Insecta; Lepidoptera; Crambidae. The record is from RefSeq and is a predicted model, not a curated record. The transcript has 2 exons.